Molecule: ribosomal RNA, 484 nt
Filed under: uncultured bacterium
Lineage: Bacteria
Description: partial 16S ribosomal RNA
Rfam family: Bacterial small subunit ribosomal RNA
Source: RNAcentral
GAUGAACGCUGGCGGCGUGCUUAACACAUGCAAGUCGAACGGUGAAGCAGGGGCUUGCUCUUGUGGAUCAGUGGCGAACGGGUGAGUAACACGUGAGCAACCUGCCCCUGACUCUGGGAUAAGCGCUGGAAACGGCGUCUAAUACUGGAUAUGUGAUGUGACCGCAUGGUCUGCAUCUGGAAAGAAUUUCGGUUGGGGAUGGGCUCGCGGCCUAUCAGCUUGUUGGUGAGGUAAUGGCUCACCAAGGCGUGGACGGGUAGCCGGCCUGAGAGGGUGACCGGCCACACUGGGACUGAGACACGGCCCAGACUCCUACGGGAGGCAGCAGUGGGGAAUAUUGCACAAUGGGCGGAAGCCUGAUGCAGCAACGCCGCGUGAGGGAUGCCGGCCUUCGGGUUGUAAACCUCUUUUAGCAGGGAAGAAGCGAAAGUGACGGUACCUGCAGAAAAAGCACCGGCUAACUACGUGCCAGCCGCCGCGGUAA